CUCCUUGGAAUAUAUGUUUAUUCCUGUGCUUCCAUAAUUCACUAACUACAACAAUCCAAACACAAUUCCAGACUACAUUAACCUGGACAGGAGCAUUUAGCAAAUUAAAAUGCAAGAAGUGAGUUGUUGGGACAACAUGGUCAACCGAUGCAAUCCCUAACCAUGUAUAACACUGAUUCCAGACUAACCAGACAAUCCUGCAAUCAAAAAACAUGUGUUUUGUCGACUCCACAGCCAUCCUGCAAAAACUACAUAAAUUGGUAUCCACCAAAACCCCACGCCUCUCC
This 287-nucleotide long non-coding RNA is filed under the name Phaseolus vulgaris (common bean). RNAcentral describes it as "long non-coding RNA (PVUL_LNC000661)". The record is from RNAcentral. Lineage: Eukaryota; Viridiplantae; Streptophyta; Magnoliopsida; Fabales; Fabaceae.